RNAcentral lists this ribosomal RNA (440 nucleotides) under uncultured bacterium. RNAcentral's name for it is "partial 16S ribosomal RNA". It matches the Rfam family "Bacterial small subunit ribosomal RNA", at positions 338 to 795 of the family's 1533-position model. The record is from RNAcentral.
CCUACGGGUGGCAGCAGUGGGGAAUAUUGCACAAUGGGGGGAACCCUGAUGCAGCGACGCCGCGUGGGUGAGGAAGUACUUCGGUAUGUAAAGCCCUAUCAGCAGGGAAGAAAAUGACGGUACCUGACUAAGAAGCCCCGGCUAACUACGUGCCAGCAGCCGCGGUAAUACGUAGGGGGCAAGCGUUAUGCGGAUUUACUGGGUGUUAAGGGAGCGUAGGCGGCGUGCCAAGUCUGGUGUGAAAGGCCGGGGCUCAACCCCGGGACUGCCUUGGAAACUGGCAGGCUGGAGUGCGGGAGGGGCAAGCGGAAUGCCUGGUGUAGCGGUGAAAUGCGUAGAUAUUAGGAGGAACACCGGUGGCGAAGGCGGCUUACUGGACGGUAACUGACGUUGAGGCUCGAAAGCGUGGGGAGCAAACAGGAUUAGAUACCCGAGUAGUC